Molecule: ribosomal RNA, 507 nt
Filed under: uncultured bacterium
Lineage: Bacteria
Description: partial 16S ribosomal RNA
Rfam family: Bacterial small subunit ribosomal RNA
Source: RNAcentral
ACGAACGCUGGCGGCGUGCCUAAUACAUGCAAGUCGAACGCUUCUUUCCUCCCGAGUGCUUGCACUCAAUUGGAAAGAGGAGUGGCGGACGGGUGAGUAACACGUGGGUAACCUACCCAUCAGAGGGGGAUAACACUUGGAAACAGGUGCUAAUACCGCAUAACAGUUUAUGCCGCAUGGCAUAAGAGUGGAAGGCGCUUUCGGGUGUCGUUGAUGGAUGGACCCGCGGUGCAUUAGCUAGUUGGUGAGGUAACGGCUCACCAAGGCCACGAUGCAUAGCCGACCUGAGAGGGUGAUCGGCCACACUGGGACUGAGACACGGCCCAGACUCCUACGGGAGGCAGCAGUAGGGAAUCUUCGGCAAUGGACGAAAGUCUGACCGAGCAACGCCGCGUGAGUGAAGAAGGUUUUCGGAUCGUAAAACUCUGUUGUUAGAGAAGAACAAGGACGUUAGUAACUGAACGUCCCCUGACGGUAUCUAACCAGAAAGCCACGGCUAACUACGUG